UGCCUGCCUGUGAGAAGCUUCGUCUGGAUUUAGCUCCGUGAUUUAUUUCAAUUACUGAUGAAAAAAGACUUCUCGAGCAGGAGCUUCACGUCAGACCUCCACCAACCACAUGUUUGUUCUCUAACAGAUGAAGUUCAUGUUAAUAA
Molecule: long non-coding RNA, 146 nt
Organism: Nematolebias whitei (Rio pearlfish)
Lineage: Eukaryota; Metazoa; Chordata; Actinopteri; Cyprinodontiformes; Rivulidae
Exons: 3
Source: RefSeq, a predicted model, not a curated record